UACGAAGGGUGCGAGCGUUGUUCGGAAUUAUUGGGCGUAAAGGGUUCGUAGGCGGGAGAGCAAGUUGAGUGUGAAAACCCCGGGCUUAACCUGGGACGUGCACUCAAGACUGUUUUUCUUGAGUAUGGGAGAGGGUGGUGGAAUUGCUGGUGUAGGAGUGACAUCCGUAGAGAUCAGCAGGAACGCCGGAGGCGAAAGCGACCACCUGGUCCAAAACUGACGCUGAGGAACGAAAGAGUGGGGAGCAAACAGG
Molecule: ribosomal RNA, 253 nt
Filed under: uncultured bacterium
Lineage: Bacteria
Description: partial 16S ribosomal RNA
Rfam family: Bacterial small subunit ribosomal RNA
Source: RNAcentral